UACGGAGGGUGCGAGCGUUGUCCGGAAUCAUUGGGCGUAAAGGGCGCGUAGGUGGCCCCUCAAGCGUGCGGUGAAAGUCAGGGGCUCAACCCCUGAUCGGCCGUGCGAACUGGGGAGCUUGAGCACUGUAGAGGCAGGCGGAAUUCCGGGUGUAGCGGUGGAAUGCGUAGAGAUCCGGAAGAACACCGGUGGCGAAGGCGGCCCGCUGGGCAGAGACUGACGCUGAGGCGCGACAGCGUGGGGAGCAAACAGGG
RNAcentral lists this ribosomal RNA (254 nucleotides) under uncultured bacterium. RNAcentral's name for it is "partial 16S ribosomal RNA". It matches the Rfam family "Bacterial small subunit ribosomal RNA", at positions 524 to 777 of the family's 1533-position model. The record is from RNAcentral.